RNAcentral lists this ribosomal RNA (397 nucleotides) under uncultured Methanosaeta sp. RNAcentral's name for it is "bacterial SSU rRNA". It matches the Rfam family "Archaeal small subunit ribosomal RNA", at positions 944 to 1338 of the family's 1478-position model. The record is from RNAcentral. Lineage: Archaea; Methanobacteriati; Methanobacteriota; Methanomicrobia; Methanotrichales; Methanotrichaceae.
AAUAUGAAGGUCAGGCUGAAGACCUUACCCGAUUAGCUGAGAGGUGGUGCAUGGCCGUCGUCAGUUCGUACUGUGAAGCAUCCCUGUUAAGUCAGGCAACGAGCGAGACCCACGUCCACAGUUGCCAGCAUACCCUCCGGGGUGAUGGGUACACUGUGGAGACCGCCGCUGCUAAAGCGGGAGGAAGGAGUGGGCAACGGUAGGUCAGUAUGCCCCGAAUCUCCCGGGCUACACGCGGGCUACAAUGGUUGGUACAAUGGGCAUCUACCCCGAAAGGGGAAGGAAAUCUCUUAAAGCCAGUCGUAGUUCGGAUUGAGGGCUGCAACUCGCCCUCAUGAAGCUGGAAUCCGUAGUAAUCGCGUUUCAACAGAACGCGGUGAAUACGUCCCCGCUCCUU